GGGCCCUUAGCUCAACGGUUAGAGCAGCGGACUCAUAAUCCGUUGGUUAUAGGUUCGAAUCCUAUAGGGCCCACCA
This 76-nucleotide transfer RNA is filed under the name Candidatus Zixiibacteriota bacterium. RNAcentral's name for it is "tRNA-Met". It matches the Rfam family "tRNA". From Rfam's summary of the family: Transfer RNA (tRNA) molecules are approximately 80 nucleotides in length. Their secondary structure includes four short double-helical elements and three loops (D, anti-codon, and T loops). Lineage: Bacteria; Pseudomonadati; Candidatus Zixiibacteriota. The record is from RNAcentral.